GACGAACGCUGGCGGCGUGCUUAACACAUGCAAGUCGAACGGAAAGGCCCUGCUUUUGUGGGGUGCUCGAGUGGCGAACGGGUGAGUAACACGUGAGUAACCUGCCCUUGACUUUGGGAUAACUUCAGGAAACUGGGGCUAAUACCGGAUAUGAGCUCCUGCUGCAUGGUGGGGGUUGGAAAGUUUCGGCGGUUGGGGAUGGACUCGCGGCUUAUCAGCUUGUUGGUGGGGUAGUGGCUUACCAAGGCUUUGACGGGUAGCCGGCCUGAGAGGGUGAACGGCCACAUUGGGACUGAGAUACGGCCCAGACUCCUACGGGAGGCAGCAGUGGGGAAUAUUGCACAAUGGGCGGAAGCCUGAUGCAGCAACGCCGCGUGCGGGAUGACGGCCUUCGGGUUGUAAACCGCUUUCGCCUGUGACGAAGCGUGAGUGACGGUAAUGGGUAAAGAAGCACCGGCUAACUACGUG
This 468-nucleotide ribosomal RNA is filed under the name uncultured bacterium. Its description in RNAcentral is "partial 16S ribosomal RNA". It matches the Rfam family "Bacterial small subunit ribosomal RNA", at positions 28 to 507 of the family's 1533-position model. The record is from RNAcentral.